RNAcentral lists this ribosomal RNA (453 nucleotides) under uncultured Paludibacter sp. RNAcentral describes it as "partial 16S ribosomal RNA". It matches the Rfam family "Bacterial small subunit ribosomal RNA", at positions 341 to 792 of the family's 1533-position model. Lineage: Bacteria; Pseudomonadati; Bacteroidota; Bacteroidia; Bacteroidales; Paludibacteraceae. The record is from RNAcentral.
ACGGAAGGCAGCAGUGAGGAAUAUUGGUCAAUGGACGGAAGUCUGAGCCAGCCAAGUCGCGUGAAGGAUGAAGGUAUUAUGUAUUGUAAACUUCUUCAGCAGUGGAGUAAUAAGGGGAUCGCGAUCCCUGAUGCAAGUACACUGAGAAUAAGGAUCGGCUAACUCCGUGCCAGCAGCCGCGGUAAUACGGAGGAUCCGAGCGUUAUCCGGAUUUAUUGGGUUUAAAGGGUGCGCAGGCGGCUUUUUAAGUCAGUGGUUAAAUCGUGACGCUCAACGUCAUCACGCCAUUGAUACUGGAGAGCUUGAUUGCGGUCGAGGUUUGCGGAAUUCGUUGUGUAGCGGUGAAAUGCAUAGAUAUGACGAAGAACACCGAUUGCGUAGGCAGCAGACCAGGCCGUAAAUGACGCUCAUGCACGAAAGUGCGGGGAUCGAACAGGAUUAGAUACCCUGGUA